This 5740-nucleotide long non-coding RNA is filed under the name Gallus gallus (chicken). RNAcentral's name for it is "lncRNA (ENSGALG00010002830.1)". Lineage: Eukaryota; Metazoa; Chordata; Aves; Galliformes; Phasianidae. The record is from RNAcentral.
GGUUCAGUGAUUUCUGUUUUUAAGGGAUCCAGAGGCCUCAAGAUGUUUUUACCCAUUCUUGGAAAGUGAUGCUACAAUGGGACACUCACCCUCACACAUUCCCUUACAAGAACUGUGAACUGUGGGUGCUACUCUUUCCUUCCUCUGCCCUUACUGCUACCACUCUUGUAGCACAGAUAUACAAGGAAGGGGGAAUACUGUUAGCACUGUGAGAAUAAUAUGCAGUUGAUAAGCAAAGAGGAAGAACCAAAAAACCUUCCAUAACUUACUGAGGCAUUUCUUAUAUCUAUUCUCAAAAGAGAUGUGCACUUAAAAGUAUAGAGUGAUGUUUGUAGAGAGGGUGUGGGUACAAGAGUCAAGGGAGGAGAAACAAGAAGAAGCAAUAAGAGGAGCAAUGCUUGAUAGAAACAGUAAUAAAAGGAAAAAUCAGAUCUAAGUCUGUGUUGUGUGGCAUAUAAUUCAAGAUUUAAUCUAAAUGUACCAAUUUCUCUCACAAAACAAUAGGUGAUAUUCCAACCUGUCACAUUCAAUGGAGGAAAAAUAUUAUCUGCCACCCACUGUUUCCCGCAUUGCUGGAGUUAAAAACCUUCUCUUUGCUUGCAGAGAGCUUUAAUUUGAGCCCUAUGUUUUCAGUCUCUCAGAUCAAGUUCCUCAUCUCUCUGAAUUCUCCUUAGAUUCAAGACUGGCGUGAGAAUAACAGCGGCAAUCACUUCUGUUAACAAUGGCAAAUACAAAAUAAGCAGGAAAGAGACACAUUCCUUGCCAGACCUAGUAAUUACAGACUUGGCUUGGUUCAUGCAAGUUCAACUCAAUCCAGAUUUUUCUGUAAAAGCUGAGAGUCCAAAUCCAGCAGAGAAAUGUUGCUGAACUGCACAAAAGAUGAAUUCAACCCAGACAGCACAUUCAUAUUGCCUGCAUACUCCUCACAUGCACAUCUCCUUUUGGGUUUGUCAUGCAGGAAGUCACACACAGAUUAGAAACCACCAACAGAAGAGCUUUAUGGGGAACAUCUGGACAUUUCUGCCAGUCCCAGGGAGGCCCGUGGAGUGGAAGGCUACAGCAGGCACUGCAGGUUCCCUAAAUGCUCUCUUCCCCGGACAAAACGAAUUCUUAUUGACAACAAGUGGGCUCCAGGGUUGAAACUGGCAGCCUGCAUACUCUUCCUGUUGCUCAACAGUAUCUGCAGGGCAGAUGUGUUUGCAUACAACAAUACCAGAACAUAUUUUCAGUGAGUGUUCAUGAGCUGUCUGCUGGAUGGUAGCCCAGUGUGCCUUCAGGUUCAGCUCAAAUAAAGGAAAGAGAUGGGGUGCUUCAGAAACAUCCACUGCAAAUGCACGUAUGGCCAAAGCCUCAGCACAAGAAAUAGGAAGAAACACAGGAGUUGCAUCCUAAUCAAUGUGCUUUCAUUGGGAGCCUUCAGCACCAGUCUUACCUGUUCCCUACCUGCUUAUUUGAUGGCACUCACAUGGCUGGAGAGCCAAACCCUUCAGCCCAAAGAAGGUCUCUGGAGCUUGGUCCAAGUCUGACAGCACAGCCAGGUCAUCCUUCCACGAAAGCAGGGAAGCACGGGCACCGCUUCCCUCCAAACCACCAGACAAAGCAGCUCGUGUGUGGGAGAGGAAAAAUUCUGCUUUCCAGAGCCCCAGUGACUUGUUUUUCCAUCCUGACGGCUCGAGAAGUGAGGAUCUGUGCCUGAAAAUCUGAGAGAAAGUAGGCUGUAUUUGUGUGUGGAUGAACAGCAAACAGACACCUUCCCCCUGUACCAGCCCCCCGGAUGGCACUGAGUGUCUUCAGUAGAGAACGUGAUGACCUGCAAGGGAGCCUCAGAAGGCCAAACGAGAUGUGUGGUAAAGAAGAAAACACGUUUAAUAAAACCUGUUGCAAAGAGAAGAAAUGAGGAGGAGGAAGGCAAUGAGAAGAAGGCAAUCUGUGACCAAGAAAUGACAGAAGCCUUCUGCUUAUAAUGCUAACUUUUGAAUAAAAGUAAGAGUAAUUGUGUUAAAAGUCAGUCACUUGUUCCUCAAGUAUCUACUAUAUUUUUUCAACUUCUGGUUUAAAAUAUUUACAGCCAUUUUAACGUAGAUUGACACCUAAAUCAGCCACUCAUGUUCAACUCAGUGGAGUCUGCACUCCAGAAGCCUUGGUCCAUACAGUUAACACAGGUUUCUUACAUGGUCUGUGGCAAAAGGUAGACCCGUGUCUGCAAGUGGUCAGGGACAUCUAAGCUAAAGGAUCAUUCCUCUCUACCGACCUUAUAAAGAAAAAAUGCUGAAAUUCAAUACCUGCUUUCUCUUGACAUCCAAGCUGAGUCUUCUGUAGAAAGACACUAGUGGAGACUCUUCGUACUGAGCAGUAACAGUAGUUUCCUGGUAGAGUAUCUGUCAAGGAAUAGAAGAUCCUCUUUGGCCAUGUUUCCCACAGCCUCAUUGCGUGACCUAGUUAGGCUACAUUACUUCAUCACUGCGCAAAGUAGAAAAGGACCAGAAUUACCCAUCCCAGCUUGUGCUCUACUACCUGCUAGGGCAGAGUCAAGAUCCCAUGUGUACUCAGCCAGAAGUCUUCACCUUCUGCCUAGCUGCCCAGUGUCAACAGGAGGGAAGAGCAUGAUGAUACCAUGAGCUUCUCACUUGGACUGAGAAAUCUUCUGUGGAGGUAGAGUUUAAGCAUCUGGACUUACCAAAGGCGGGUCUCUCCAGUCCUUGUCCAGAGAAAGUAAAAGAAGUGCGCUUUUAAGGUGCAGCCACUGCCCUGAAUUUCACAGAACUUUCAUCUGACCAAGAGAAAAUAAGUUGACUUCAGCUAAAAUUAGACUUGAGGUUGCCACCUCUGAACUUCAGGAAGAAUUUAAGAGAACUGGACCACUUGCAUCAUUAUGCCAAUAAAAUGAUACUUCUCUCUCUUUCAGCCUCUUUGUUGAGGUAUGUUGAUGAUUAGCCACCUAUGACCAGGGCAAUAUCUGCCAGGGAUUUUUACACGUUUAAGUUUCUUCACAGCCUAUAUUCUCAUUGUAGGCCAGGAGAAGCCACUGUGUUAAUGAUGGCCCUCAUAAGAAUGAAUUAUGGCCCGAGGCCAGAUUCAACAGUUUCCCAGAGACAGGAUGGCCGUUAACUGGGCAGUAGCCUGGGGUUUAUGUUUCACUACAAACCUUCUCUGUGCACAUCAGCAAGAUGUUUGAGCCAAAUCAAAGGAGUUGAGCUUCUCUGUUCUCACACUGCCAUUGGUAAAAUGACAGUCAUGACUCUUCUCCACUUCAGAGGGAUGUCGCAAGGAUAUUACAUGAAAAAAAUAUGAACAUGAGUAUUUAGAUGAACAUCAGAAAGUAUAAAACUCUCCCUGCUCCCAGGCUAGCAUACCCUUUCAUCUUUUUGGGGCCAAUGGUUUGAAGUAAAAGUUGCUGUUAACAUGUAUUUGCCUUAGCAAGGUGUUAAAGUCAUUUCUUUUUAAAUGGUGAUUCCUACACACAACCUGUUCCCAAGUUCCAGGUCCGGGUGCAAGUUCUAUUCCUGUGACUUGCAAAGCCACCGGGGACUCACAAGUGGCUCUGGCGUUGCAAAUCCACUCUUCCUGGAAAGAUUUCCUGUUCUUAUCAGGGAAGGAAACCUCAUUUAAAUUUGAAUAUUCACUUCCAAUGGUACAGAUUGUUAAAAGAUUGUUCUGCCAACAGAAUAACACAAAACUAGCAAUGUGACACUGUUAUACGAGUAAAAAUGAAGGAUGAACCAUCAAUCUGGAUUUUUAAAUGAUCUCUGUUAGAAUCUGUCACUGGUAAUAAAUGAUUGAUCCAUUUCCUAAAUAUAUAACUUUUAGCUUUUUCCUCCUCUGUUUUCAAUUUGCCUUUACUUCUCAGUCCAUCUUUUUCAGUACAAACAUGUUUUCCCCCAACACUUGUAGGACUUUUCUUUUGUGUAGGGUCUUAGUCAUCUCUGCCAGCGCUGUGCUUCCCUCCAAUGAUGAAGAAAGCAGCCCGCUCCAUGAUACUGUUGUAUGUAUGCAUUAAGUGAAAUCAGGCUGCUUUUAUAACCUAUUUCUAAAACACUCAGGGUAAUUUACUGUUGUUUUUGCAAAAUUGUGAAUAACAGAGAAUAACAAUAUUUUGAACAAAUGACGAUAUUCUUCGUCGACGGAGAAUAAACAGGCUUGUUAGGGUGUAAUUGUUGUGCAUGAGUUUCUGGUUAGUUGUUGCUAUUUCACAGGGAAAUAGGACGCACUUGAAAGCUUCCGCAUCACUCCAGCUCCAAUGCUGGUACAGAAGAUGAAUAUUUUCAAGGAGAGGUAGAAAUGUCGAUUCCACUAACAAAUUUACAGUGCAAUAUAGCGAAAGAAUAAAACACGGUUUAUGGGUUGCUUUCUCCAGCUUAUUUUUAUCUCACAGAAUAAUACUUUAAAAGCACCCUAAGAAAAUGUUUCUCUUCCUGCUGAACUAUCUUUAUUUUUAGAUUGGAUACUUACCCUAUACAACUAUUUAGUCUGAUCCAGCUGAUGCAAAAGGUUGCUCUUUCAGUGUACAGCCUGCAUUGUCCCUGCUUAAACUGAAGAUGUGGGUGCAUGCUUUAUGAACCAGCCAUCUAAACUUGAAAGUGUGCUGGAGGAGCAGAGCAAAGAAAUUAAAUCUUUUAAAGUCCUCAUCACAUUGGGUUAAUUUAGCAGGCCGUGCUUCUGUUCUGUUUGCAUGACCACAGAGUGCUUGAUUGACUUUGACAUUUGAGUGAAAUGGAUGGAUAUUAAUGAAAGGAUGCAGAUAAGGAGCUGGAGAGAUAGAUACCAGGAUCAGACUGUUAAUGCUUUUACAUUCAAACUUUAUACAUGUGUAUAUAUAAAAAAAUGCUUUUGCAAACACCAUAAUGUUCAUUACACUAUUCAGAAAAGGAGGUUUACUGUGACAAUCUGCUGAAAACUGCUUCUGUGAUGAUAACAGGAAAUCAGUCACUUAUUUUGCUGGAUUGUUCAGAAAACUGACAGACAGGCUCCGACUGAAUCUAAGCAGCCUGCACCUGGUCAGAAAACCGUGCAAUGUGACAACAGCCUCUGUGUUGCUAAUAAUUAUGCACCAAUUUAAUCAUCAACCUCAUGCUUAGCAAAAUGAAAGGAUAAAACUGGGUAAAUGAUGCAGCUAUAGGUAUUUAAAUCAUGCGGCAUUUUUUGGUAUGGUGAUGAGUGGCUCUUUUUUCUAAUUCUAGAUGAUGCUGACAGUAUUUAAAAUUGAGGUUAGAAAUUACAGCAAGAAUCUGACUUGUGAUAUGUGUCAUAAGAUGUGGCAUUUUGCUCUGAAUCGAAUAUAGAUUGUUGGUCGCUUUAAUCAAUAGCUCCGAAAGACCACAACGCAAAUAAGAUUAAAACUACUCAUUCCUUCGUAUGCAUAAUGGCCGCUUCUUUGAUUCCCAUUUAGCAUUUAAAUUAGUUCAGCCACAAAGCACAGAGUACAGAUGCAAGUUUGAUUAUAUCAUUAGCGAAGUUCUCCUGGAUCAAUUUAAAACUAUUACACUUCAGAAAGAAUUAAGACGGAGCUCUACGGGAAGAUAUUUCCAGGCACAGAUCUUGUCUAUUGUCAUGUAUGUGAGUGCUUUGGUUUUUUUUUUUCCUCCUACAAGGAAGACGCACUAUUAAUUCUUUCAAAAGUCUUUACCAUGCUAUUCCACCACAUAGAAUCCAUGUGGCCAUCUUUGUGACCAUCGUGCCUCAUACCUGACAGUCUUUUGGCUCUGGUUUUCACUCCGAUAAGAAGAAACUUCACUUGAGUACA